Molecule: unclassified non-coding RNA, 395 nt
Filed under: soil metagenome
Description: partial contains 5.8S ribosomal RNA, internal transcribed spacer 2, and large subunit ribosomal RNA
Rfam family: 5.8S ribosomal RNA (bases 1-120)
Source: RNAcentral
GAUGAAGAACGUAGCGAAAUGCGAUAAGUAAUGUGAAUUGCAGAAUUCAGUGAAUCAUCGAAUCUUUGAACGCACCUUGCGCCUUUUGGUAUUCCGAAAGGCACACCUGUUUGAGCGUCAUGAAUACCUCAAUCUCCAUCUUUUCUUCGGAUUGAUGGGUGACUUGGAUGUUGAGCCCUGCUGGUAAGCUAUAUCAGCUGGCUUUAAACUUAUUAGCCGGCUCUGUACUGGAUCGGUUUGACUCGACGUGAUAAUAUUAUCGUUGAGGAUGCAUGUCUCAUGCAGCCGGAAAGUAUCAAAGCAGCUUCUAGCUUGCCUUUAGUGCACUUUUACAUUUUAGACCUCAGAUCAGGUGGGACUACCCGCUGAACUUAAGCAUAUCAAUAAGCGGAGGA